Molecule: ribosomal RNA, 447 nt
Filed under: uncultured bacterium
Lineage: Bacteria
Description: partial 16S ribosomal RNA
Rfam family: Bacterial small subunit ribosomal RNA
Source: RNAcentral
AACGAACGCUGGCGGCAGGCUUAACACAUGCAAGUCGAGCGCCCCGCAAGGGGAUCGGCAGACGGAUGAGUAACGCGUGGGAAUCUACCGUACCCUACGGAAUAGCUCCGGGAAACUGGAAUUAAUACCGUAUACGCCCUACGGGGGAAAGAUUUAUCGGGGUAUGAUGAGCCCGCGUUGGAUUAGCUAAUUGGUGGGGUAAAGGCCUACCAAGGCGACGAUCCAUAGCUGGCCUGAGAGGAUGAUCAGCCACAUUGGGACUGAGACACGGCCCAAACUCCUACGGGAGGCAGCAGUGGGGAAUAUUGGACAAUGGGCGCAAGCCUGAUCCAGCCAUGCCGCGUGAGUGAUGAAGGUCUUAGGAUUGUAAAGCUCUUUCACCGAUGAAGAUAAUGACGGUAGUCGGAGAAGAAGCCCCGGCUAACUUCGUGCCAGCCGCCGCAGUAA